RNAcentral lists this ribosomal RNA (254 nucleotides) under uncultured bacterium. Its description in RNAcentral is "partial 16S ribosomal RNA". It matches the Rfam family "Bacterial small subunit ribosomal RNA", at positions 524 to 776 of the family's 1533-position model. The record is from RNAcentral.
UACGUAGGGGGCAAGCGUUAUCCGGAAUCAUUGGGCGUAAAGCGCGUGUAGGCGGUUCCGUAAGUCCGCUCUGAAAGCCCAGGGCUCAACCCUGGGAGGCGGGUGGAUACUACGGAACUGGAGUACGGAAGAGGAGAUUGGAAUUCCUGGUGUAGCGGUGAAAUGCGCAGAUAUCCGGAGGAACACCAACAGCGAAGGCAGAUCUCUGGGACGUUACUGACGCUGAGACGCGAAAGCGUGGGGGAGCAAACAGG